Molecule: long non-coding RNA, 2740 nt
Organism: Canis lupus familiaris (dog)
Lineage: Eukaryota; Metazoa; Chordata; Mammalia; Carnivora; Canidae
Exons: 4
Source: RefSeq, a predicted model, not a curated record
AGGCCUCAGGACAGCACUUGUUCAUCCCAGCUCUUGGAGAUGCUCACUGGGUUCAGAGGCUCGGCCUCCACCGACGCCUCUCCUGGGUGUGGCCUGGGCAGAGAAAGCGAGCAAGGACCACCGCAACACAAUGAAGACAUGGAAGCAUAAGGAGCUUAAGUGAACUGCCCAGUAUUGUCCCCUGGACAGGAAAACAGUGGGGCUGAAAUCAAAGGGACUCCUACCAGGCUCCUGGUCACAGAAAUUAUGAUCAGAUGACUACCAACCAUCACCACUUUCUCUAGGGAGUCAGUUUAGGAAAUGGAUAACUGGCUGAUUUGCAUGAACCAAGACUGAAGCAAGCACACAUGGGGCUGUCGUCUGUGGAGAGUCAGAUCCACUGGGCUGGACUCGACAUUGCAGAACUGCCAAUGACAUCUUAACACCUCUGAGAAGUAGGGGCACCUGGGUGGCUCAAUCGGUUAAGCAUCUGCCUUUGGCUCAGGUCAAAAUCCCAGGGUCUGGGAUCUAGCCCCACAUGGGGAUCUCUGUUCAAGGGGGAGCCUGCUUCUCCAUCUUCAUCUGCUUGCUGCUCCCCCUGUUUGUGCUCUCUCUAUCAAAUAAAAUCUUUAAAAAAAAGUCUGAGAAAUAACAGGGCUGCCCCCUGAGAUGCCUGGACACUGCUCUCUUGCCUCAUUUAGCAGCUUUUUUCUUCUUCUGUAGGAGUUGGAUUUUUGUUGCAUUCCUGAGCUCACCCACAGCUCUUUUUUGAGAAAAAAUAUGACUUAAAUACAAAGAGGCAAACUGAUAAGUCAGAGUCUGUCCCCAGCAACCCAUAAUUUGGAACAUUAUACUAAACCAUUACCAAAAUCUAUGUCUACAAUCCUAAUGCAGGUGGAGAACUUACCAAGUAAAUGUCAAGGGUGAAGAAUGGGCCCUAUCAAUUGGAUUGAAUCAACAAGCACUUUUUUUUUCCUUUGGCUAAGAAAGGAACUGGUAUCAAAUAUAAUAUAAAGAGAAAAAAAAAAGCAACUCUUUAGCUCACUAAAAAAUGUAUGCUUUGGAGCAUCUAUUGUGUAUUGGCUGUUCAGGAUGAAAAGACGAAAAAUUAAGGUCUUGUCUUUAAAUUAAUUAAUAGUCUUUCAAAUAACUGUCUAUUAUGAACUGGCUGGAAUAGAUGCAUUCUCAAGAUACCAAGGGUGCAGAUAGGAGAGAGCACUGAAGUCUGCCUGGUUGAAGAAUUUUCUGGAAGAAAGAGUGUCUGGGUCACAUCAGAGGACCAGAAAUAUAGGGUAGUGGAGGGGCAGGGUAGCAGGUAAGAGGUAAAACAGGUAGGUUUUCUUCGGAACCAGUAAGUGCCCACCACAGAGGAAAGCAGGGUUGAUCUGUUUGGAAUUGUAGGAGCUGAUAAGGGGGAGAAAAAUGAAACUGAAGAGAGACAUCCAGUGGCCACAUCACACUGGCCUCUCAUGACUAUUCAAAGCUCAAAAUCUCCUUAAAAAUGGAAAUAACAGACAUCUCUAUGUGGGGAUGCUGGUCUGAAGGACUGUAUACUCCUUGAGUCCAUGGCUCUUCUCUUCUUCACUCUAAGAUGUUGGACUGUUGCAAAAAAGCAGAAAGAAAAGGAAAAUUAUGCCCCAAUUCCUGUUUCCUCCCCUUUUGACUGCUCCCCCUUGAGAACUAAUCCUGAAUGGCACUUCAAUGCUCUGAUUUUUACACAGAGCUUUGUUAAAAAACAAAAUUCAGCUGAGUAAAUUUGAAAAUCUAAUUGGCUGUAUUCAAAGAUUCAUGACUCAGGCAGCAUCCCAUGUAGCAGACAGAAAGAAGCUCUGAGAAGCUGAGCAAAAUACUGGGCAGAAGGGGGUAAAGAAUGGAUUGUUUCAGGCAUGGUCACCUUCCUCCAAGGGAUGAAAAAGGUCUAGAAAGUGGAUUACUUCCUUGGUACUGACCAGGAAAUUUGAGACUGACCAGUUAGGAUUAUAUUCCCAGAGGAGGUUGAAACUUCAAUUAGGUUAGGUAUUAAGUCUUGGUCUGGGCUUGGCAUGGAUGACUCCAUUUUGGGCCUGUUAUCUCUUUCUAACAGCUUCAACCUACAGCAACUGUUACUGGGGAGAGGGCGGGAUGGCAUCUCUUGAGCAAAUAUCCUUAAGAGUGUGAACCCAUGGAAAGGGACAUCACAGAUGUCCUUUUUAGGUCUGGCUACCAGAAAUAAGCCAGUAAUAAUAACUUUCCACAAUCAGUGCAGAACGGUGUGGGAUAUUCUCUAUCCCUCUUAUUAAUUCCACUGUCUCCUUCUCCUACCCCAGUGCUUCAUCAUUUGAGGAUUUAGUGAAAGGCAUAGAUUCCAGACAAAGUAAGUUUUUGCAUUUUAUUUUCCCCGUUGUUGCCUGACUGACAUUGGGGAUGCAGAUCAAGCAAGAGAGAGUGCCUCUCUUUUCCCCUCUGCACUCUCCAUCAUCCUGCAAUCCUAUUAUCUUUAAAGGAAAAGAAAUGAUUUCUUUGCCUAGGUACUCAUCCCGUAUCUCUCCGACAUGGGACAAGUAGGCCUUCUAUUUUCUGGCAGAUUAAUGAAGAGGAAGCAUCUUGUUCAGCAGGCGUCCCUGAUUGGAGCCCUUAGACCAACCUGAACACAGAAAUUGUGAGCUUGAAGGGAUCCCUGGGUGGCUCAGCGGUUGACUGUCUGCCUUCGGCUCAGGGUGUGAUCCUGGAGUCCUGGGAUCAAGUCCCACAUCGAGUUCCCUGCAUGGAGCCUACUUCUCCC